RNAcentral lists this ribosomal RNA (497 nucleotides) under uncultured bacterium. RNAcentral's name for it is "partial 16S ribosomal RNA". It matches the Rfam family "Bacterial small subunit ribosomal RNA", at positions 28 to 507 of the family's 1533-position model. The record is from RNAcentral.
GAUGAACGCUGGCGGUGUGCCUAAUACAUGCAAGUCGAGCGAACAGACGAGGAGCUUACUCCUCUGACGUUAGCGGCGGACGGGUGAGUAACACGUGGAUAACCUACCUAUAAGACUGGGAUAACUUCGGGAAACCGGAGCUAAUACCGGAUAACAUGUUGAGCCGCAUGGUUCAACAGUGAAAGACGGUCUUGCUGUCACUUAUAGAUGGAUCCGCGUCGCAUUAGCUAGUUGGUAAGGUAACGGCUUACCAAGGCAACGAUGCGUAGCCGACCUGAGAGGGUGAUCGGCCACACUGGAACUGAGACACGGUCCAGACUCCUACGGGAGGCAGCAGUAGGGAAUCUUCCGCAAUGGGCGAAAGCCUGACGGAGCAACGCCGCGUGAGUGAAGAAGGUCUUCGGAUCGUAAAACUCUGUUAUUAGGGAAGAACAAAUGUGUAAGUAACUAUGCACGUCUUGACGGUACCUAAUCAGAAAGCCACGGCUAACUACGUG